This 73-nucleotide transfer RNA is filed under the name Myotis brandtii (Brandt's bat). It matches the Rfam family "tRNA". From Rfam's summary of the family: Transfer RNA (tRNA) molecules are approximately 80 nucleotides in length. Their secondary structure includes four short double-helical elements and three loops (D, anti-codon, and T loops). The record is from Rfam by way of RNAcentral. Lineage: Eukaryota; Metazoa; Chordata; Mammalia; Chiroptera; Vespertilionidae.
GCCAGUGUGGCUCAGUUGGUUGGAGCAUCGUCUUAUGCACAGAAGGGUAAGGGUUCAAUUCCCUGUCCAGGCA